Non-coding RNA from Panus rudis PR-1116 ss-1, 94 nucleotides. The record is from the annotation of a GenBank genome assembly. Lineage: Eukaryota; Fungi; Basidiomycota; Agaricomycetes; Polyporales; Panaceae.
GGCGAGAUGGCCGAGCGGUCUAAGGCGCCAGACUAAGGUGCACGUUGCUUUAAUCUGGUCCGAAAGGGCGUGGGUUCGAAUCCCACUCUCGUCA